RNAcentral lists this transfer RNA (88 nucleotides) under Candidatus Gottesmanbacteria bacterium. RNAcentral's name for it is "tRNA-Ser". It matches the Rfam family "tRNA". From Rfam's summary of the family: Transfer RNA (tRNA) molecules are approximately 80 nucleotides in length. Their secondary structure includes four short double-helical elements and three loops (D, anti-codon, and T loops). Lineage: Bacteria; Candidatus Gottesmaniibacteriota. The record is from RNAcentral.
GGAGGAGUCGGAUAGUGGUCCAUUCCGAGGGUUUGCUAAACCCUUGAGCUGUUAAAGGCUCGCGUGGGUUCGAAUCCCACCUCCUCCG